Octodon degus (degu) is the source of this 166-nucleotide small nuclear RNA. Its record names the gene U1. It matches the Rfam family "U1 spliceosomal RNA". From Rfam's summary of the family: U1 is a small nuclear RNA (snRNA) component of the spliceosome (involved in pre-mRNA splicing). Its 5' end forms complementary base pairs with the 5' splice junction, thus defining the 5' donor site of an intron. There are significant differences in sequence and secondary structure between metazoan and yeast U1 snRNAs, the latter being much longer (568 nucleotides as compared to 164 nucleotides in human). NCBI's taxonomy places the organism in Eukaryota, Metazoa, Chordata, Mammalia, Rodentia, Octodontidae. The record is from Ensembl.
CUACUCACCUGGCAGGGGAGACACCAUGAUCACGAAGGUGGUUUUCCCAGGGCGAAGCUUAUCCAUUGCACUCCGGAUGUGCUGACCCCUGCAAUUUCCCCAAAUGCGGGAAACUCGACUGGAGAAUUUGUUGUAGUGUUGGACUGCGUUUGUGCUUUACCCUAUG